GAUGAACGCUGGCGGCGUGCUUAACACAUGCAAGUCGAGCGAGAAGUUUUGAAAAGAUUCUUCUGCUGAAAUUUAAAAUGGAAAGCGGCGGACGGGUGAGUAACGCGUAGGCAACCUGCCCCAUACAAAGGGAUAGCAUUUGUACACGAAUAUUAAUACCUUAUGAAACUUAACUAGUGCAUGCUACGUCGGUCAAAGAUUUAUCGGUAUGGGAUGGGCCUGCGUCUGAUUAGCUAGUUGGUGAGGUAACGGCUAACCAAGGCGACGAUCAGUAGCCGACCUGAGAGGGUGAACGGCCACAUUGGAACUGAGACACGGUCCAAACUCCUACGGGAGGCAGCAGUGGGGAAUAUUGCACAAUGGGGGAAACCAUGAUGCAGCAACGCCGCGUGAACGAUGAAGGCCUUUGGGUCGUAAAGUUCUGUUCUAGGUGAUGAAAACUGACAGUAACCUAGGAGAAAGCCCCGGCUAACUCCGUG
This 479-nucleotide ribosomal RNA is filed under the name uncultured bacterium. Its description in RNAcentral is "partial 16S ribosomal RNA". It matches the Rfam family "Bacterial small subunit ribosomal RNA", at positions 28 to 507 of the family's 1533-position model. The record is from RNAcentral.